UAUUCAUCACAGUUUUGUGUGUAUUCUGAGUGUCCUCCUAGGACUCAUUUUCUAAUAGGAUACUGAAAAGUAAAAUUAUCUAAUCUAGUGAAUAUAAUACAAGAAAAUGGCUUUCCAGGAGAAACCAAAGUUAGUAUAUUUUGAAAUAUGAUCACAAAUAAAAAACUGCUCCCAUAUCUCAGCUUGAGGGAAUCUGAGCUUCUGAAGAGUAUUUUCCCUCUGUCUCUGAUAUUGAACAUAUUUCUUCAGUGUUUUUAAUCAUAUAUUUAUUUUUCUUCAGCUAAUAUUUUGAGGUUUUAUUCUGUGCCCAGUACACAUCUAAUUUUCCACAUUAGGCUCUCAGUCUUUUCAGGUAAAAUUCACUUACUUAUUCAACGAAUACUUAUUGAAAAACUAUUAUAUGUACCUAGAAUUGUGCCUGACCCUGAAAAAAACAAUGGUACAUAAAUGCAGGUGCAACCCCGUACCCUCUAAAGAAGUUGAAAUGCUAGCGGGUGGGAAGGGAGAAGUGAAGGGAUUAUCCUUAGAUAGAAGGCAGCAGCCACACCUCCUUCCCCUCCCUCCAUUGUAACAGGUGGGUCACUGAAGUGAUGGGUGAAAGUAUAGUCAGAUUAGAAUGUUUAGUCAGAAAGUGAGGAAUGUUUCCAUAUAUAAAGAUCUACAAGGGGUGAUCAUUUGCUGAGAGACAUGGAAUGGGUAGUGUCAGAAUCUUCUAUUCAUGUGCGUAUUCUUGGCAACAAGUGGAACAAUUCUUAGCACAGACCCAGUACUUCUGAAAUGUUGGUUGUAUAGAUGACUUUCUCAUGGGAAUGAAGGAAUGAAGAACUGAAUGAAUGAUUCUGUUGAACUUGUACUCGGAAGGCCUAAGUGGUUGAAAGCUCAUGAGGGCUAUAGAACUGUCCUUCAAAGCAGCUUUAUCACACUUGGCAGUGCUCUGCUGGAGUCACAUGAAACAAAAUAUGCCCUUCUGCUGAUGAAACUUUGCUAUCUGUGGAGAUAUUUUAGCCUGCUGCCUGGAUAA
Molecule: long non-coding RNA, 1021 nt
Filed under: Vulpes vulpes (red fox)
Lineage: Eukaryota; Metazoa; Chordata; Mammalia; Carnivora; Canidae
Description: lncRNA (ENSVVUG00000022203.1)
Source: RNAcentral